Girardinichthys multiradiatus is the source of this 481-nucleotide long non-coding RNA. RefSeq lists it as uncharacterized. The record is from RefSeq and is a predicted model, not a curated record. Lineage: Eukaryota; Metazoa; Chordata; Actinopteri; Cyprinodontiformes; Goodeidae. The transcript has 3 exons.
UUAGUAGCGUUCUAUUGUUACCUAGCAACCUAAAAGGACCAGCGCUGGCGCUCUUUCUGUGGCGCUGGACCAGCGGCCGAACCCGGCGGCCAUCUUGGAGACGAGGAAAAAAAAGAAGACAGCCAUCAAUCCUCGAAAGGGGGCUCUUCUGAAGGAAACCAGGGCGCUGACGCUAAGAGGGAAGCCGUGGUUGAGCAGCGAGGGCUUACGUUGAGGCAAUGACCCAGAGGAAUGUUCUUGUGCUUCUUCUGGAUGUUUCUCCAAAUAAGACAACUGGAAACAUCGGCAGAGCAGCAGGUUCAGGAAUUGGGCCUGUAAGAGGGAAGGCAGACACAAAACUAAACAGUGAAUGUGAAGAGAUUCCUUACCGCCCGUGCAUGUCUUGCUUUAAAGACAUGGCAGUAAAGUUGACCAUCGGUGCUGCCUGGGUUAUGGGAGACGAAGGCAAACUGGGCAUCUGUUGGGCGGGCAGUGGACAGAG